GAUUUCUGACUUGGCGCACCUAGCCCGCCACGGUUACGUGUGUGAGUGCCGGGAUGCGCCUGUCACUUUUCUGGUAAACUAUUGUGCACUUCAUUGGGUACGAUAGGUACAGCCAGAUAUUUUACUUUGAAAAAAUUAGAGUGUUUAAAGCAGGCGUUUUUGCUAUGAAUACAUUAGCAUGGAAUAAUAAGUUAGGACUUCGGUUCUAUUUUGUUGGUUUCUAGGACUGAAGUAAUGAUUGAUAGGGAUAGUUGGGGGUGCUAGUAUUCAGCGGCCAGAGGUGAAAUUCUCGGAUUCGCUGAAGACUAACUUAUGCGAAAGCAUU
Molecule: ribosomal RNA, 325 nt
Filed under: Allapsidae sp.
Lineage: Eukaryota; Cercozoa; Glissomonadida; Viridiraptoridae
Description: SSU rRNA
Rfam family: Eukaryotic small subunit ribosomal RNA (bases 110-325)
Source: RNAcentral